This 253-nucleotide ribosomal RNA is filed under the name uncultured bacterium. Its description in RNAcentral is "partial 16S ribosomal RNA". It matches the Rfam family "Bacterial small subunit ribosomal RNA", at positions 524 to 776 of the family's 1533-position model. The record is from RNAcentral.
UACAGAGGGUGCAAGCGUUAAUCGGAAUUACUGGGCGUAAAGCGCGCGUAGGCGGUUACGUAAGUUGGGUGUGAAAUCCCCGGGCUCAACAUGGGAAUUGCACUCAAAACUGCGUGGCUAGAGUGUGGGAGAGGAAGGUAGAAUUCCAGGUGUAGCGGUGAAAUGCGUAGAUAUCUGGAGGAAUACCGAUGGCGAAGGCAGCCUUCUGGCCUAACACUGACGCUGAGGUGCGAAAGCAUGGGGAGCAAACAGG